Ruditapes philippinarum (Manila clam) is the source of this 169-nucleotide small nuclear RNA. RefSeq annotates it as U1 spliceosomal RNA. Lineage: Eukaryota; Metazoa; Mollusca; Bivalvia; Venerida; Veneridae. The record is from RefSeq and is a predicted model, not a curated record. The transcript has a single exon.
CUAUUUACUUGUAAAUAUAAUGAAUAAAUUUAUGAAAAAGAAAAAAGUGCUUCCAGGAAUGACCCUUCCAUUGCACUUCGGUUGGGUUGAAGCCUGCGAUUACCCCUAAUGUGGGUAACUCGGGCACGCAAUUUAUUUGUGUAGGGGUCUGCGUUCGCGCUAACCCCUG